AAAGAGAGGCAUGGAACUGGCAGAGCCCUGGCAGCAUGACGAGGAAACGGACCCCAUUCUGCAGUAAUUAGAAAACGUCAUGAUACGAUGCCACGUGAAGUACACACGCUCAACCUGGAUCGAAUUAUGGGGAAACAUCAGAUGGGUCCAGAUUACGCAGGACACUCUCCAUGACGACUGGCCUGGAAUCUUCAAAAACAGCAAUGCCGUGAAAGACAGAAAUAAAACAGAAAAAAA
Molecule: long non-coding RNA, 237 nt
Filed under: Pongo abelii (Sumatran orangutan)
Lineage: Eukaryota; Metazoa; Chordata; Mammalia; Primates; Hominidae
Description: lincRNA
Source: RNAcentral